AAAUGAAUAGACGGGGACUCGCACAAGCGGUGGAGCAUGCGGUUUAAUUCGAUGCAACGCGAAGAACCUUACCAGGUCUUGACAUCCCGCUGACAGCCCUAGAGAUAGGGUCUUCCUUCGGGACAGCGGAGACAGGUGGUGCAUGGUUGUCGUCAGCUCGUGUCGUGAGAUGUUGGGUUAAGUCCCGCAACGAGCGCAACCCUUAUCAUUAGUUGCUACCAUUAAGUUGAGCACUCUAAUGAGACCGCCGGUGACAAACCGGAUGAAGGUGGGGAUGACGUCAAAUCAUCAUGCCCCUUAUGACCUGGGCUACACGCGUGCUACAAUGGCCAGUACAAAGAGUUGCAAAACCGUGAGGUCAAGCUAAUCUCAUAAAACUGGUCUCAGUUCGGAUUGUAGUCUGCAACUCGACUACAUGAAGUUGGAAUCGCUAGUAAUCGCGAAUCAGAAUGUCGCGGUGAAUACGUUCUCGAGUCUUGUACACACCGCCCGU
Molecule: ribosomal RNA, 493 nt
Filed under: uncultured bacterium
Lineage: Bacteria
Description: bacterial SSU rRNA
Rfam family: Bacterial small subunit ribosomal RNA
Source: RNAcentral